GCAGCCGUGGCCUACUGGUUAGGUAUUCGGGCUUGUAACCGAAGGGUUGCCGGUUUGAUCCCUGACCAGUUGGA
Molecule: transfer RNA, 74 nt
Filed under: Alosa alosa (allis shad)
Lineage: Eukaryota; Metazoa; Chordata; Actinopteri; Clupeiformes; Clupeidae
Description: tRNA-OTHER
Source: RNAcentral